This 261-nucleotide ribosomal RNA is filed under the name uncultured bacterium. RNAcentral describes it as "partial 16S ribosomal RNA". It matches the Rfam family "Bacterial small subunit ribosomal RNA", at positions 99 to 354 of the family's 1533-position model. The record is from RNAcentral.
CGCACGGUGAGUAACACGUGAGUGACCUGCCUUUUAGACUGGAACAACUUACCGAAAGGUGAGCUAAUGCCGGAUGAGUUAUAUAAGUGCAUGUUUAUAUAGGAAAAGUUGGGGAGACCUGACGCUGAAAGAUGGACUCGCGUCCCAUUAGUUAGUUGGUAGGGUAAUGGCCUACCAAGGCGACGAUGGGUAGCCGGCCUGAGAGGGUGGCCGGCCACACUGGGACUGAGACACGGCCCAGACUCCUACGGGAGGCAGCAG